UAUCCUGACCGUACUAAGGUAGCGUGAUAAGUUGCCCUUUAAUUGGGGGCUUGAAUGAACGGACACACGAGAGUUUAACUGUCUCUUUUAUAAACAUGGAAAUUAAUCUUUAGGUGAAAAAACCUAAAUAGAUUCAAAGGACAAAAAGACCCCAUAGAGCUUUGUUUUACCUUAUUUUUUAAAAACCUAUAUACUAGAAUCUAUUUUAAAUUUUUUAAAAACUUAACUGGGGCGGUUGAAGAAAAAAAAAACUUCUUUUAAAGCAUACUUACGCACAAAGGUCUAACUAACCUAAUUUUAAAAUUGAUCCUAAAUUUUUUAUAGUUCUUAACAUUUUAUUUAUAAUAUUCUCUAUACUUUAUAGUUUAAUAUAAAUCCAUAUAUUUAUAUAUAUAUUUCUAUACUCAUUUUUGACCAAAGGAAAAGCUACCUUGGGGAUAACAGAUUUAUCCUUCUUAAGAGUCCAUAUUGACAGAAGGGUUUGGCACCUCGAUGUUGG
Molecule: ribosomal RNA, 499 nt
Filed under: Amphisamytha marisindica
Lineage: Eukaryota; Metazoa; Annelida; Polychaeta; Terebellida; Ampharetidae
Description: partial 16S ribosomal RNA
Rfam family: Bacterial large subunit ribosomal RNA
Source: RNAcentral